Molecule: ribosomal RNA, 492 nt
Filed under: uncultured bacterium
Lineage: Bacteria
Description: partial 16S ribosomal RNA
Rfam family: Bacterial small subunit ribosomal RNA
Source: RNAcentral
AGUGAACGCUGGCGGUAGGCCUAACACAUGCAAGUCGAACGGCAGCACAGUAAGAGCUUGCUCUUACGGGUGGCGAGUGGCGGACGGGUGAGGAAUACAUCGGAAUCUACUUUUUCGUGGGGGAUGACGUAGGGAAACUUACGCUAAUACCGCAUACGACCUACGGGUGAAAGCAGGGGAUCUUCGGACCUUGCGCGAUUGAGUGAGCCGAUGUCGGAUUAGCUAGUUGGCGGGGUAAAGGCCCACCAAGGCGACGAUCCGUAGCUGGUCUGAGAGGAUGAUCAGCCACACUGGAACUGAGACACGGUCCAGACUCCUACGGGAGGCAGCAGUGGGGAAUAUUGGACAAUGGGCGCAAGCCUGAUCCAGCCAUACCGCGUGGGUGAAGAAGGCCUUCGGGUUGUAAAGCCCUUUUGUUGGGAAAGAAAAGCAGCAGGUUAAUACCCCGCUGUUCUGACGGUACCCAAAGAAUAAGCACCGGCUAACUUCGUG